GAACGCCGGAUGAGGGGAAACUCUCAUGUCCGGUGUGAAGUGGGGGAAAGUCUGGCGAUAACAUCAAAGGAUUAUCUAUCACUAU
Molecule: non-coding RNA, 85 nt
Organism: Coprococcus comes CAG:19
Lineage: Bacteria; Bacillati; Bacillota; Clostridia; Lachnospirales; Lachnospiraceae
Source: Rfam